This 306-nucleotide unclassified non-coding RNA is filed under the name plant metagenome. Its description in RNAcentral is "partial contains 5.8S ribosomal RNA, internal transcribed spacer 2, and large subunit ribosomal RNA". The stretch from base 1 to 105 matches the Rfam family "5.8S ribosomal RNA", at positions 50 to 154 of the family's 154-position model. The record is from RNAcentral.
GAAAUGCGAUAAGUAGUGUGAAUUGCAGAAUUCAGCGAAUCAUCGAAUCUUUGAACGCACAUUGCGCCCCUUGGUAUUCCAUGGGGCAUGCCUGUUCGAGCGUCAUCUACACCCUCAAGCUCUGCUUGGUGUUGGGCGUCUUUGUCCCGCCUCCGCGCGCGGACUCGCCCCAAAUUCAUUGGCAGCGGUCCUUGCCUCCUCUCGCGCAGCACAUUGCGCUUCUCGAGGUGUUGCGGCCCGCGUCCAGAAAGCAAUCGUUACCGUCUUUGACCUCGGAUCAGGUAGGGAUACCCGCUGAACUUAAGC